Non-coding RNA from Microcebus murinus (gray mouse lemur), 437 nucleotides. Lineage: Eukaryota; Metazoa; Chordata; Mammalia; Primates; Cheirogaleidae. The record is from RefSeq and is a predicted model, not a curated record.
UUGGGUGUGGGUUUGAGGGAAGGGUACCAGAACCUUCGGGAGACUCCAUGGGAAGAAUUUGCAGAGCAGAGCAGAGCAGGAAAAAGCAAGAUAUCAGAAGAGCUCAAACCCUGAGGAGCUUGGAGACCAGUGAGAAAGGAUUGGUUAUAAACAGGAGCAGAAGAGCUGAAGCCUCUGAGGCAGCAAACAAUUGUGGAAAAUCUGUGAAGUAAUGUCCUUGCAACAUUUUCCGGCCUACUUCUCAGGACCCAUGGGAUUCAGAUAAGCAUUAGGCACAUUUCGAAAGUUCUCUGAAAUGAUUUUGACUCCCACUCCUCAUUCCCUCACUCUGCCAGCCCCUCCUUGAGAACCACAGUUUUGUAACAAUCUGUGUGGGAAUGACCACUGCUUCAGUUUAGUACCCUGGAAGAUUCAUGAUGUGGCCAGACUGUUACAAC